RNAcentral lists this transfer RNA (76 nucleotides) under Desulfovibrionaceae bacterium. RNAcentral's name for it is "tRNA-His". It matches the Rfam family "tRNA". Rfam says of the family: Transfer RNA (tRNA) molecules are approximately 80 nucleotides in length. Their secondary structure includes four short double-helical elements and three loops (D, anti-codon, and T loops). The record is from RNAcentral. Lineage: Bacteria; Pseudomonadati; Thermodesulfobacteriota; Desulfovibrionia; Desulfovibrionales; Desulfovibrionaceae.
GCGAAUGUAGCUCAGUUGGCAGAGCACUUGGUUGUGGCUCAAGUGGUCGUGGGUUCGAGCCCCAUCAUUCGCCCCA